RNAcentral lists this small nuclear RNA (306 nucleotides) under Chinchilla lanigera (long-tailed chinchilla). Its description in RNAcentral is "7SK RNA (ENSCLAG00000021871.1)". The stretch from base 1 to 267 matches the Rfam family "7SK RNA". Rfam says of the family: 7SK was discovered as an abundant small nuclear RNA in the mid-70s but a possible function has only recently been suggested. Lineage: Eukaryota; Metazoa; Chordata; Mammalia; Rodentia; Chinchillidae. The record is from RNAcentral.
GGGUGUAAGGGCGAUCUGGCUGAGAUACGUCACCCCAUUGAUAGCCAGGGUUCAUUUAGCUGAUCUAGUUGGCUAGGUAGGUGUCCCCUUCUUCCCUCAUCACUCUCUGUCCCUCCCAAAAUUCUGUGCUCAGUGGAAGACCACAACCCCCGAUAGAGGAAUACCGCCUCCUCUGUCAAGGAUAUAUGAGUAGCUGUGCCCCGUUGUUAGAACCUCCAACAAGCUCUCAAGGUCCAAAAUUUGAGUUAGAUCCCUGUUCAGCUGUGCGUGUAGGCAUGUUAAUCACUUAAAGAGUGUCUAUGACAU